CUACACUGUUGGUUAAGGGCUUGUAAGUUAAGCAUUUCACUGUAAGGUCUACACUGUUGGUUAAGGGCUUGUCAGUAAAGCAUUUCACUGUGAGGUCUACACUGUUGGUUAAGGGCUUGUCAGUAAAGCAUUUCACUGUGAGGUCUACACUGUUGGUUAAGGGCUUGUCAGUAAAGCAUUUCACUGUGAGGUCUACACUGUUGGUUAAGGGCUUGUCAGUAAAGCAUUUCACUGUGAGGUCUACACUGUUGGUUAAGGGCUUGUAAGUAAAGCAUUUCACUGUGAGGUCUACACUGGUUAAGGGCUUGUAAGUAAAGCAUUUCACUGUGAGGUCUACACUGGUUAAGGGCUUGUCAGU
This is a long non-coding RNA of Oncorhynchus tshawytscha (Chinook salmon), 358 nucleotides long. The record is from Ensembl. NCBI's taxonomy places the organism in Eukaryota, Metazoa, Chordata, Actinopteri, Salmoniformes, Salmonidae.